UGCAAGUUCGAGCGGACAGAUGGGAGCUUGCUCCCUGAUGUUAGCGGCGGACGGGUGAGUAAACUUGGGUAACCUGCCUGUAAGACUGGGAUAACUCCGGGAAACCGGGGCUAAUACCGGAUGGUUGUUUGAACCGCAUGGUUCAAACAUAAAAGGUGGCUUCGGCUACCACUUACAGAUGGACCCGCGGCGCAUUAGCUAGUUGGUGAGGUAACGGCUCACCAAGGCAACGAUGCGUAGCCGACCUGAGAGGGUGAUCGGCCACACUGGGACUGAGACACGGCCCAGACUCCUACGGGAGGCAGCAGUAGGGAAUCUUCCGCAAUGGACGAAAGUCUGACGGAGCAACGCCGCGUGAGUGAUGAAGGUUUUCGGAUCGUAAAGCUCUGUUGUUAGGGAAGAACAAGUACCGUUCGAAUAGGGCGGUACCUUGACGGUACCUAACCAGAAAGCCACGGCUAACUACGUGCCAGCAGCCGCGGUAAUACGUAGGUGGCAAGCGUUGUCCGGAAUUUUUGGGCGUAAAGGGCUCUCAGG
Molecule: ribosomal RNA, 537 nt
Filed under: Bacillus subtilis subsp. subtilis
Lineage: Bacteria; Bacillati; Bacillota; Bacilli; Caryophanales; Bacillaceae
Description: bacterial SSU rRNA
Rfam family: Bacterial small subunit ribosomal RNA
Source: RNAcentral